Molecule: unclassified non-coding RNA, 329 nt
Filed under: soil metagenome
Description: partial contains 5.8S ribosomal RNA, internal transcribed spacer 2, and large subunit ribosomal RNA
Rfam family: 5.8S ribosomal RNA (bases 1-120)
Source: RNAcentral
GAUGAAGAACGCAGCGAAAUGCGAUAAGUAAUGUGACUUGCAGAAUUCAGUGAAUCACCGAAUCUUUGAACGCACAUUGCGCCCCUUGGUAUUCCGAGGGGCAUGCCUAUUCGAGCGUCAUUAUCACCCCUCAAGCCUAGCUUGGUGUUGAGACCUGCUGUCAAGGCAGUCUCUAAAAUCAGUGGCAGUGCUGUCAGGCUCUAAGCGUAGUAAAUCUAAUCGCUAUAGACACCUGGUGGACACUCGCCAGAACCCCCCCAUUUUUUAAUGAUUGACCUCGGAUUAGGUAGGGAUACCCGCUGAACUUAAGCAUAUCAAUAAGCGGAGGA